Long non-coding RNA from Pseudophryne corroboree (corroboree frog), 767 nucleotides. RefSeq lists it as uncharacterized. NCBI's taxonomy places the organism in Eukaryota, Metazoa, Chordata, Amphibia, Anura, Myobatrachidae. The transcript is spliced from 3 exons. The record is from RefSeq and is a predicted model, not a curated record.
CUCACUUCAGGAUCUCGACUGUAUAUGUAUAUAUAUAUAUAAAGACGAGCGGUUGCAAUAACGCUGGCAGCCUAAUUUGGAAGCGGCAGUCUGACCAGUGUGGAGGAGGAGGAUGUCCAAAGAACGCGGUGUCAGAGAGAUUCCUUUAGCAAGUCAAUGAGAGGAGUAGCAGACACAGCAGGCAAACACUCAACAGGAGACAAUGGCAUCAUCACAGCCUGAGUGUGGAUCACCUACUGAAAAGGAAGACAAUUAUGAUGCUGCGGAAGAAGGAACAAGCAUAAGAGCACCAAGGUUUUCUGAAGAAGAAACAGAGGCUCUCAUCAAUGAGAUAAGUAGACAUACUUGUUCUCUGGUUGGUCCAGAGGCAAAGAAUCUCAGCAUAAAUUUAAAGACUUCAACAUGGGAGAAGAUAGCCAAAGCCGUCUCAAGCACUGCAGGAACAAAGCGGAGCAUGGAGAGCUGAAAGAAGAGACUUCGUGAUUGCAGGAGGAUGACCCAAAACAAGAUAAAUUCAAGACCAAAGAAGCUAAAGGAUUGGGAAAAUAAGUUCCAGGAGUACUUCAUGCUAGUUGUGGAAGAACCUAUUCCUGGGACCAGCAAAGAAGACACACCAGAAAAUAUAUAAAAAAAAAACACUCCAUGCAAGAAAAAAGGAACUUCUCCCCAAAACGGGAUACUGCAAAAGCAAAAAUAAGAAGGACCAAAGACAGAUGGUAAGCAAGAUAGCUAUGUAGUACUGUAUAGAUAACUUCACAUAAUUCCAC